CGACUCUAUUUUCACUCUCUUUGUUACAACACAUGAUUCUCCAUUAUGACCUGACAACUAACAAGAGACAUUAAGUGAAACACAUUGACAUGAAUGUCAACUCUGCCAACAAAUAAUUAGUUAUACUGGGGCAAUGAUCAAAUUCACCUCCGGCUCCAAAAACCUAUAAGGCAUAGGGCAAAAUUUAACAAGGAUACUAAAUAUUACAAGCUACAACAGGGUAUCGCUAGUUUCAUCUCGGUCCCAAUAGCCUCCAGCACCCAGCCGAAACAGAUCGAGCCACCAUCUUCUUUAUCUCCGGUGGCUACAGAAUAGCAAAAGGAUAGAGCACUAUUGAUUACAUGGUUGUUUCAGCGAACUGCGACAUGAAAAAUGAUGUUAUUCGCUCAUGCUUCCUACUCUGCCAACUACGACCAUAUCGUACCCCUGAAAUCACUUAAUGUAGUGGAACUCCUUUUCUGUGACAACUUUGCAAGAAGACAAAUAUGUAUUCUUCCUCCUUUUUUGUACUCCACCAUCAUGUGUCACCAUCUUCAAAUCCGAUGAACCUUCUAGUGAUUCUCAUAAUCAUCUGCUGAUAGACACCUCAGUCAUACUACUAAAGAUGUGUGCAUGUCGUUAUAGACAUAUACAUAUCCUCACUUUGGAAUAAGCAUAGAGGUAGACAUCAACACGUUGCAAGGAACAAAGUUUUCUAUCUGAGAGAGAAGCAAACAUAUUUAAGACCGCUCAUAACAAAUGCCAGUAAUUUCCAUGCUUUAAAAUCAACAAUGCGUCAGUGAAUCAUCUAGAAAGUUAUAUGCUCAUUAUAUAGUGUUUCCUACAAAUACACAACAAUUCUUCCAGUAUCAUUGUUAGAGAUGUGCUACUGUUAGUUGACAUAUCAAAUUAAUACUAAGACAUCUAUAAAUCCAAGUUCACAUGAUAGUGUUGCCAGUUUAUAUCCAACAAAUUUUAAAACCACAAUACCACAUACUGAAGAUUAUGUUGUUUAUUUCUUUCACUAUUUUUAUAACAAAUAGUGAUUUAGGAGAGAAAUAAACAAUGUAAUAUUUUGUGGGAACUUUUGCAGUCGACGAAAAGCUUGAUCAUUACAACAUAAUGGUGCUGGAUUGGAAGAAAAAGUUCACUUAAUAGGUCAGAUGCGCCAUGCAUAGGAGUGUCGAGGGCACACCAGAAUCAAUGAAUGGCACGAUGAAAAUAAUUAAACUUGUUUUUUAUUAGUUCUCAUCUACUCAGAAAGGUGUCACAAGGUGUGGUAAAAUGUCAUUCAGUUUCACAAAGGCAUGCAUUCGAGCUAGUGCUGACAAACUUUGCUGCCUUUUUCACACUUGCUUUCCGCAUCUCCACUCUAGGAUCAAAACACAUUCCCAGUAAACAUUUGGAAUUUUAAGUUUGUCCGAGAAGGAGUAAACUCACUAAACUACAAAUACAAGCACAAAGCAUGUCCAUAUCUCUGUACAAAAGACAUAAUGCAGUACAUGUAUCAGUUUGGAUACACAUGCUUCAGUCAACUUGACCAUGACUAACGCCGUGGUCAUUUUAUCCUACAAGCAUGGUCGGAAGUGCACUCUUUUUAAACUAUGUCAGCUCUCGCGGAAAAGGAAAAAUCACUCUGAACUUGUUUUUCCUAGCAUUUUUUCAAAAAAAAAGAGCUGGAUUUCAUCAAUGGUCAUGAUUCUUCUCAGGAUUAUGGGACAUAUUAAACAGACAAGCUUCACAUGGUAAAAAGCUCAUAGAAAAGGGUAUUAACAUUUGUAUGUUUGUGAAAACCAAUUCAGAUUGCUAAUUAUAAUGUGAACCUUUGGUGAAGCAACGUGAUCAGCACUUCAUGAGCUGCAACUAAAUCAUGUAUGGUGUUUUGUGUCCUUCAUAAAUCAGUCUAUAAUUCUGCCCAGUAAAUUUUAACACCACUUGGUAGAUCAUGCAGGAGAAAAAUUGCAAGUGUACAGUAAAGUUAGGCCAUAAUUCUGCCCAGUAAAGUUAGGCCAUAAUUUUGCACAACAGUGCAGUAUUACUAAAGAAUAAGGCACCCCAUAACUAAACAGAAAACACAAAACAAAGCAGAAAGAGACAAGUAAAGAGGCACAUACCUAGCAUAAUGUACUGACAUUGUAGUUACAGAAGCAUAAUUGUAUAAACUUGGGCUUUGGCAAGAUAAUAGCAGGUAUGCCCAUUGAGAAAAACAUGUAGCAAGCUUCCAAUCUACCACCAAGGAUCACGUUUGAUUGGCACAUUAAAGUUCUUUGGAGCUAUACCAAGGAUAAUCACGUCUUUGUCUAGCGUCUACCCAGUUUCAGUAAAUUAAAACAGGUUGAUUGUUACGGUCUUGUAUGUUGUCACCUGGACCAAAUCCCAUCAUGUUUUUGUACGGAGGACGAUGCAAAAAAUGCAGGAGAGAGAAACACAAGUUAUAUUUGAGUAGCAGUGGAAAGAAGUCCAGAUCAUCCCCUGGGAUUUCAUAAACCGGCUAACCCACCCCCUCAGCUCUAAAACCAGUUAAGUAACCCCCUGAAGUCUCUAAUACCAGGCAAAUCACCCCUUUGCGCUGAUUAUAGUGGUUUCUGGGGGCGGUUUUCCUUGUGUGACGUUGGACUACUACCACGUCGGCUUGAUGGAAGGCGCCAGCUCAAGCUCGUCCUCGCAUGUUCUCUUGUUCCUCUCCUCCCGUGUACGUCAGCAUGGUAGACAGCUGAAGUUCGUCCUCCUCUGUUCCCAAGUUCCUCUCCUCUCCCCUAUUCGCCAGUCCCGGGAUUGCCUUCAGCGCUCGGCCUCUGCGGUAACAUGGGGUCGCCAAUCCCCUAUUGGCAGAUUCCCUACGUGACCACGUUUGCAUCUGGCCGGAGGUAAGACCAUUCCGUAGUAACAUUCACAUGAUUCCAAUUUAAUGGACUGAUUGUUCGAUCUUUCAGGCUGAGAUGGAUAAACUUCUACUGGGUCAUUGAUGAAGUUGACCCUGUGUCACACUCAUGCCUACUAUCGUCUCCUAGAACUAUUAAGUAGAAAGAAAAGAAACAUGAGCUAAUAUCAGGACAAAAGAAAACAUCAAACUAGUAUGUGAUUUUUGUACUCGUUUAAAAUAGCUGAAACCGUAUAAGAUCCAGCUAAAAUUAGAUUACUAGUUUUGGUAAUUAUUCCAUAUGUGUACGAUCCUGUGACCAUGUUUACAACCAGCCGGACUAAUGGUAAUAUUAGAUUACUAAUUUUGGUAAUUAUUCCAUCAGGAAAUUUGAUUUGCUCUUUUGUGUGCAUAAUUGGUAGACUGAUGGAUGUAAAUACUUCUACUGGCUGGAAGCAAGUUGGACACACAUGCUGAAGUUGUGAUAGCAAGCUUCAGAGUUUGCAAAGAAGCUAGAGAUUCAAGAAAAGCUAGGUGCACUAAAGUUCAGAAAAUGAAGAAACUUGCAAUGCUGUUCUGGCUUGUUUCAGUUGUUUUACCAUUUGUCUGUGUAAAGUGUAAUGGUAGUGUUGGCUUAGUUAGUAUGAGGGUGAAUUAAGCAGUACUUUGGCAUUGUGGCAGGUUGAGAGAUAAUAAAAAGUAGUGAAUGUAAUGUGGAACUAUUGCUGAAUUUUGGCUAUGUCCUGCUUCUUAAUUUUCCUUUUCAAAUUAGCAGUAUUUGGGCUGCAUGAUGUUGCUCAUUUUCUAUGUGAAUUGGCAGUAUUCUCAGUGUUGUAUUAGCUGACCGAAACUGAGCAUGCAUAGGAGUCAACCGUGUACCAGAAAAUAUAGCAUGAUCCCCAGCAUGCUUGAACUACAAGGUCAGUUUUAUUUCACUGUAGAAUCUUUGAUUGGUUUGGCAUUGGCUGGUUUUGCUCUGCCGGCUGCCGCCGCAUCAUCAAAGGAAAGAAGGGAGACAAGGCCAAAACAGGAGGAGCAGUUUAACUAGACCCACCCCAUCAAGCAGACGUGGCAGUCGUCCAACGCCGCGCAAGCAAAACCACCUGCAGAAACCACUAUAAUCAGCGCGAGGGGGUGAUUUGACUGGUAUUUGAGACCUCAGGGGGUUACUUAACUGGUUUUAGAGCUUAGGGGGUGAAUUAGCCGAUUUGUGAAACCCCAGGGGGUGAUCUGGACUUCUUUCGUAGCAGUGUUAUAAAAAUUUGCUCAGGAGAGAGAAACAAAUAAAUCUAAUUUUGGCAAUCCAGUACAGACAAUAUUUAUGGGUAAUUACUAAUUUCAUGUCCCAUAGGUAUUAUGUCACGUAGUAUGAAGAAACAAAGUCAAGCAGUUACGAGCGCCUUUGGUGCAGUGAAAUUUUGAGUGGGAGUCUAUAUUAUUACAGUUUUGUAUCGUCCAAAUUACAGCCCCAUAAAUCAGCUCCAGCCGACACACACCUUUGCUUCCACAACUCAUGCAUAACCACAUACUCGGGGAUUCAAAUCAACCUACAAGAAUAUUAAUCCAUUAGAACUUCAUGCAGAAUAAGAAGUAAAUUAGUCAGAUCCAAGAUGACACCAAACCGAAUUGGUUAGGAUGUGUGUCGAUGCUUGCUGGCUUCGCCCGCCAUCACCGAGCUAUCAAAAUCACAAGAGGAAAAUAUGUACUGGCUACUGCUCGCAUUUCACAAACACAUCAUAUUAGAAUCACAUGCCUCAUUUGGACGCCAUAUAAUAAUCAUACAUCAUUGUUGUAUCAAUAGAAAAGAAAAUAUAGAAUAUUUUUCACCAUGUACACUGUGACCGUAAAAUAUAGAAUAUUUCCUGUACUGAACCGUGAGUACAAGGGUUGGAUCAUGAGUUAUCUAAAGAGAGGAAAAGAUUUCGUACAUGCGAGUAACUCAAAACACCCAUGAAAGUAAACCAGAUCAGCACAAAAACAGAACCAAAUCAAGCAUAGAAGCAAGAGAGAAAGUGAUUUCAUCCUACCACCAGAUCAGAGGAAGUCGAGCCAUCGCCUCUCAGUCGAGGAUGGCGCGCCAGUGGAGGUGAAAGCCGUCGCCUGGCGGAUCAGCAACCUUCCGUCCAGGUCGGCCCACGUGGAAGGGGACAACGACCGCGCGCCGGCUCGUCGUUGGUGGCACACCAGCGAAGGUCGCGUCGCGUACCCGAACCCAGCAGCAGCAUGCAUUGCCGGUGCCGUAAUGGCACGGGGAGCAGGUGUGCGGAGGAGCUCGGCACCAUAUCUAGGAGAACGGAGAGUGGGAGA
RNAcentral lists this long non-coding RNA (5146 nucleotides) under Triticum aestivum (bread wheat). RNAcentral describes it as "long non-coding RNA (TAES_LNC020369)". Lineage: Eukaryota; Viridiplantae; Streptophyta; Magnoliopsida; Poales; Poaceae. The record is from RNAcentral.